CGAAAGCCUGACGGAGCAAUACCGCGUGGGGGAGGAAGGCUCUUGGGUCGUAAACCUCUUUUCUCAGGGAAGAAUGACGGUACCUGAGGAAUCAGCAUCGGCUAACUCCGUGCCAGCAGCCGCGGUAAUACGGAGGAUGCAAGCGUUAUCCGGAAUGAUUGGGCGUAAAGCGUCCGCAGGUGGCAAUUCAAGUCUGCUGUUAAAGGUCGGGGCUCAACCCCGAAAUGGCGGUGGAAACUGAAUAGCUAGAGUGCGGUGGGGGCAGAGGGAAUUCCUGGUGUAGCGGUGAAAUGCGUAGAGAUCAGGAAGAACACCGGUGGCGAAAGCGCUCUGCUAGGCCGCAACUGACACUCAUGGACGAAAGCUAGGGGAGCGAAUGGGAUU
RNAcentral lists this ribosomal RNA (384 nucleotides) under uncultured bacterium. RNAcentral's name for it is "bacterial SSU rRNA". It matches the Rfam family "Bacterial small subunit ribosomal RNA", at positions 376 to 779 of the family's 1533-position model. The record is from RNAcentral.